RNAcentral lists this ribosomal RNA (446 nucleotides) under uncultured bacterium. Its description in RNAcentral is "partial 16S ribosomal RNA". It matches the Rfam family "Bacterial small subunit ribosomal RNA", at positions 338 to 795 of the family's 1533-position model. The record is from RNAcentral.
CCUACGGGUGGCAGCAGUCGAGAAUCAUUCACAAUGGGGGAAACCCUGAUGGUGCGACGCCGCGUGGGGGAAUGAAGGUCUUCGGAUUGUAAACCCCUGUCAUGUGGGAGCAAAUUAAAAAGAUAGUACCACAAGAGGAAGAGACGGCUAACUCUGUGCCAGCAGCCGCGGUAAUACAGAGGUCUCAAGCGUUGUUCGGAAUCACCGGGCGUAAAGCGUGCGUAGGCUGUUUCGUAAGUCGUGUGUGAAAGGCGCGGGCUCAACCCGCGGACGGCACAUGAUACUGCGAGACUAGAGUAAGGGAGGGGGAACCGGAAUUCUCGGUGUAGCAGUGAAAUGCGUAGAUAUCGAGAGGAACACUCGUGGCGAAGGCGGGUUCCUGGACAUUAACUGACGCUGAGGCACGAAGGCCAGGGGAGCGAAAGGGAUUAGAUACCCCUGUAGUC